GAUGAACGCUGGCGGCGUGCCUAAUACAUGCAAGUCGAGCGAACAGACGAGGAGCUUGCUCCUCUGACGUUAGCGGCGGACGGGUGAGUAACACGUGGAUAACCUACCUAUAAGACUGGGAUAACUUCGGGAAACCGGAGCUAAUACCGGAUAAUAUAUUGAACCGCAUGGUUCAAUAGUGAAAGACGGUUUUGCUGUCACUUAUAGAUGGAUCCGCGCCGCAUUAGCUAGUUGGUAAGGUAACGGCUUACCAAGGCGACGAUGCGUAGCCGACCUGAGAGGGUGAUCGGGGACGCUGGAAGGGAGACGCGGGGCAGACGCCGACGGGAGGCAGCAGUAGGGAAUGGGGCGCAAUGGGCGAAAGGCUGACGGAGCAACGCGGCGUGAGUGAUGAAGGUCUUCGGAUCGUAAAACUCUGUUAUUAGGGAAGAACAAAUGUGGAAGUAACUAUGCACGUCUUGACGGUACCUAAUCAGAAAGCGACGGCUAGCUACGUG
Molecule: ribosomal RNA, 497 nt
Filed under: uncultured bacterium
Lineage: Bacteria
Description: partial 16S ribosomal RNA
Rfam family: Bacterial small subunit ribosomal RNA
Source: RNAcentral